This 307-nucleotide signal recognition particle RNA is filed under the name Prunus persica (peach). Its description in RNAcentral is "SRP RNA Plant_SRP". It matches the Rfam family "Plant signal recognition particle RNA". Lineage: Eukaryota; Viridiplantae; Streptophyta; Magnoliopsida; Rosales; Rosaceae. The record is from Rfam by way of RNAcentral.
GCCGAGCUUUGUAACACAAGCUUGUAACCCGAGUGGGGGCUUUGAGGUGCUGGAACAUUGGCCAAGAAUUAGCGGGUCGGGUUCGAGCUGGCUCUCUACUGGCCUGCCCAUUCCAAGCCAGGAGUUGAACCCACUGUGUCUUGAGCGGAGGCUUGGGUCACUGGUUUUCUAGAGAGGAGGGAACCGCGUUAGGCUGGCUUUACAGAGCAACGACUACCUCCCUCUCUUGGCAGUGGAAGGAUUACAGGUCAGUGUCACUCGGAUUCACCAUGGCCCGCUAGACUGACCCAAUAGAACCAAAACCUUU